GGUAGUUUCACUUAAAGAUUUUUUUUUUGAUUGAAUCAGAAUUUUGGCCUUCAGAUUUUUUGGCCUUGGUUUUUUGUCCUCUCCCAUCCAGGUCAGUGCAGAGUUUCAUAGGAUCACGACCCUGAACCUUGAACCAAAGUUCAUGUCAUCAUUGGACUUGUAUUCAUCCAAACUCCUGUCCUUGUUUCAAGCCAAGAAAGGUGCUGCUGGACAACGCCACAGGGCACAGUUAAACCUUCUGCUUCAGAGUGGAAAUUCCAUCGAGAAAAACGAGAAGUCAUCAUCAGAUGUCUCAUUGACCAUCUGGGAGAGGAUCCAAGUGCCUUAAUCAAAACCUUUGAGGACGGUGCUGAUGCUGUCUUUGUUGAAGAGGCUUUGGCUGAGGAGGUGAUGAAGAUUUACCUGCUGUAGAAUCAAGACAGGUCAGGCGAACCUACUGAUGUGUGGGUAUUGUUAUUGAAGGCGUUACUGUUCUGGGCAAACUUGGGAAUCUGAGCAAAGCCUGUUGCUAUCUUUUGGGACUGUGCUAUGCUCUGGAUCUGAAACACCCCAAGAAUCUCAAAUGCACAUUUGAAGCAUUUCAAAAAGUGUUCAUGGAGCUGGAUCCAGGAAACCUUUCUGUCAAGGUUCAAAGACUGAAAAAUGACCUCUGUUCAUUGUAGACAAAAUUUCACAGGGCUGUUCUUAAAGUGUUAGACUUGUUAAGUGACAUGUAAUGCUCAUCAAAAGGUUCAGUUGCGGCAUUACAUUGUGUUGACAUUCCUGUUCAUAAAUAAUGUUUGUACCAUAAACUGUGUUUUUGUAUUAACUUUCCAGAUUCACAUUAAGGUGUAAAUGGGAGAG
Long non-coding RNA from Oreochromis aureus, 843 nucleotides. RefSeq lists it as uncharacterized. The record is from RefSeq and is a predicted model, not a curated record. The transcript is spliced from 3 exons. NCBI's taxonomy places the organism in Eukaryota, Metazoa, Chordata, Actinopteri, Cichliformes, Cichlidae.